Molecule: ribosomal RNA, 155 nt
Filed under: uncultured Anaerolineaceae bacterium
Lineage: Bacteria; Bacillati; Chloroflexota; Anaerolineae; Anaerolineales; Anaerolineaceae
Description: partial 16S ribosomal RNA
Rfam family: Bacterial small subunit ribosomal RNA
Source: RNAcentral
AAUGGGCAGCACAACAGGUAGCGAAGCCGCGAGGCGGAGCCAAUCCUCCAAAGCUGUCCUCAGUUCAGAUUGCAGGCUGCAACUCGCCUGCAUGAAGAUGGAGUUGCUAGUAAACGCGCGUCAGCUAUAGUGCGUUGAAUACGUUCCCGGGUCUU